GGAGUUGCUGAGGGGUAUCUGUAAAGGAGGCAGAAGGAGCCUGGGUCUCAGACCCCUACAUUCUCUCCUCAGUUUGAUCAUAGUUGUAGGAUUCUUCAAGACUUCAUCUGGAGUUUUCUUGGCAAAGAACUGCAGGAACAGAAUAACCAAAGGAGGAAUGAGGAGCCAAGAAGGCCAAGAUGGCAGCCAGGCCCUGGGGCAGAGAAGCCAAGCAUUCAUCUUCAGGGAGAUCUGUAGAUUGAUAUGGGAUGUUAGAGUUCUCAGUUUAUUAUGGAAUUAUCCCUCCCCACCCCAUAUUCCUCACCAAUCCAG
Molecule: long non-coding RNA, 312 nt
Filed under: Monodelphis domestica (gray short-tailed opossum)
Lineage: Eukaryota; Metazoa; Chordata; Mammalia; Didelphimorphia; Didelphidae
Description: lncRNA (ENSMODG00000030185.1)
Source: RNAcentral